GAUCAUGAUGGAAAUGAGAUGCCGUGAAAUUUCUGGGCAGAUGAUCUUUCAUAACUCCUCUAAAAUGAACUGAUGCACACAGUUCCUAAAACUCAAAAUGUUAGAUAUAGAGAACUGCUGUUUACGAAAGAACUGGAAACAAUGAGUAUUGAUUGCUAUCGUAUCAGAGGGAUGAAAUUUCUAAGCACCAAAACUACAAUUCCAAGUCAGCCUCCACCCCCAGUAAAAUAUUUCUUUUACCUCUAUCAUUCAAGAAGACCCUCAUAGAAGUUAUUUAUUGUGUAAGAUGAUACUAUGUCCCCUUAAGCCACAG
This 313-nucleotide long non-coding RNA is filed under the name Fukomys damarensis (Damara mole-rat). RNAcentral describes it as "lncRNA (ENSFDAG00000028941.1)". Lineage: Eukaryota; Metazoa; Chordata; Mammalia; Rodentia; Bathyergidae. The record is from RNAcentral.